This 425-nucleotide unclassified non-coding RNA is filed under the name fungal sp. RNAcentral describes it as "partial internal transcribed spacer region". The stretch from base 1 to 46 matches the Rfam family "Eukaryotic small subunit ribosomal RNA", at positions 1786 to 1831 of the family's 1831-position model. Lineage: Eukaryota; Fungi. The record is from RNAcentral.
AAGUCGUAACAAUAUUUCCGUAGGUGAACCUGCGGAAGGAUCAUUAACACGUAUCCUAACGUUUAACCACCCCGUGCACCUUGGAUCGAAACUUCACACGAGGUAUGAAGAUGGACCCAAGGAAGAUCGUGGAAUGCGCUACAAACAUGCUGUUUGGAACGGAAGGGUCCUGAAGCUAGGCGCGUUUUCAUGUGUCUUCGGGAAAGUCGGUAACUCUGAGUAGGUAUCUUGAAAGUGCCGUAGACUUCACCUUUUGUUGAGAGUACGAAUUGUUUUUUCGAACGGUUUCGGGUUGGCGUAUCCCCGCGUCUCUGGCCCACCGCGGAACAACCUCAAAAAAAAAACCCUAACCGAUGCGCCGGAUCCUCGCGGGUUCAGGUGUCGGAAACCCCGAACAACUGUUAGCAAUGGGUAUCUUGGCUCUC